GUGAAUCAUCAAAUCUUUGAACGCAAAUUGCACUCUCCGGUUUUCCGGGAGAGUAUGCCUGUUUGAGGGUCAGCCUAAAAAAAAUCGACAUUGUUGCUGUUAUUUAAUGGUGACUUUUGUCGGAGAUUGGGUUAUCUUAAACCUUUUUUUUUUUGGUUUUAACGACUUAAAAUUUUUUCUUACCUAUUCAAGAACCUUUUUAAGAUUUUUAUUUCCUUUAAGUUU
This 225-nucleotide unclassified non-coding RNA is filed under the name Glomeraceae sp. Its description in RNAcentral is "partial contains 5.8S ribosomal RNA and internal transcribed spacer 2". The stretch from base 1 to 72 matches the Rfam family "5.8S ribosomal RNA", at positions 84 to 154 of the family's 154-position model. The record is from RNAcentral. Lineage: Eukaryota; Fungi; Glomeromycota; Glomeromycetes; Glomerales; Glomeraceae.